Molecule: transfer RNA, 73 nt
Filed under: candidate division WOR-1 bacterium RIFOXYA2_FULL_41_14
Lineage: Bacteria; Bacillati
Also listed under: 2 other names
Description: tRNA-Thr
Rfam family: tRNA
About the family: Transfer RNA (tRNA) molecules are approximately 80 nucleotides in length. Their secondary structure includes four short double-helical elements and three loops (D, anti-codon, and T loops). Further hydrogen bonds mediate the characteristic L-shaped molecular structure. tRNAs have two regions of fundamental functional importance: the anti-codon, which is responsible for specific mRNA codon recognition, and the 3' end, to which the tRNAs corresponding amino acid is attached (by aminoacyl-tRNA synthetases). tRNAs cope with the degeneracy of the genetic code in two manners: having more than one tRNA (with a specific anti-codon) for a particular amino acid; and 'wobble' base-pairing, i.e. permitting non-standard base-pairing at the 3rd anti-codon position.
Source: RNAcentral
GCCGGGAUAGCUCAGUUGGCAGAGCAACGCAUUCGUAAUGCGUAGGUCGUGGGUUCGAUUCCCAUUCCCGGCU